Molecule: ribosomal RNA, 347 nt
Filed under: Alpaida septemmammata
Lineage: Eukaryota; Metazoa; Arthropoda; Arachnida; Araneae; Araneidae
Description: partial small subunit ribosomal RNA
Source: RNAcentral
AUACCCUAUUAUACUUAAACAAAUUUAGGUAUUACUAAACUAUAAGGAAACCUUUGCAGUUUGGCGGCAUUAACUCAAUUUAGAGGAACCUGCCCUUUAAUCGACACCCCGCGAUAACUUUUACUCCCAUCUACAUCUUAUAUACCUCCAUCUUAAGGAGGAUUAUUUAUACUCCCCCUUAAAAGAGAUCUAGAAGGAUAGGUAAAGGUGUAGACCAUAUGCUAGUUAAGGUGGGUUACUAUAAAUAUUAUUUAAGGAAUUUAGACCAAAUUCUGUACGAAAGAGGAUUUAACUAGUAAGUGGGGAAUAAUACUCCCCCUUGAAAUUGAUAAACAAUGUGUACACAU